UUUCCGUAGGUGAACCUGCGGAAGGAUCAUUAACGAGUAGAGUCCUUUGGGACUUUCUUAUCCAAAACACCUGUGAACCUACCGAAACGUUGCCUCGGCGGGCGCCCGGCCCCGCGCCGGGCGCUGAGCCCGCCGGCGGCCCCCUACUCUUGUCUCUGCAGCGUGGCAUCUCAGAGUCCCAGAAAACAAGUAAAAACUUUCAACAACGGAUCUCUUGGCUCUA
This 223-nucleotide unclassified non-coding RNA is filed under the name plant metagenome. RNAcentral describes it as "partial contains small subunit ribosomal RNA, internal transcribed spacer 1, and 5.8S ribosomal RNA". The record is from RNAcentral.